UUCCGCCAGAGGGGACCCUCGCCCCAUUGGCUGCUCGCCUCUACCGCCCGGCCAACCAGCUGCAGCCGAUGCUCAGCCAGCCGGCCUCUUUCAAUAGGUUUGUCUUGCUAUUGGCUGCUUCCUUCUCCGACUCCGCCCACUAGCAGCACCUAUUACUUCGCCAGCCGGCCUCUUUCAAUAGCUUCGUCUUCCUAUUGGCUACUCCCUUCUCCGGCCCCGCCCACUGACGACAGCUUUCGCUUUUCCUUUAGGCCUUCUUCUUAUUGGCUACUCCCUUCUCCUGCCCCGCCCACUGACGACAGCUUUCGCUUUUCCUUUAGGCCUUCUUCUCAUUGGCUGUUCCCUUCUCCGGCCCCGCCCACUGGCGACAGCUUUCGCUUUUCCUUUAGGCCUUCUACUCAUUGGCUGUUCCCUUAGCCAGCCCAGCCAAUCAACAGCAGCCAUUGCUCAGCCAGCCGGCCUCUUUCAAUAGCUUCCUCUUCCCAUUGGCUGCUCUCUUCUCCGGCCCCGCCCACUGGCGACAGCUAUGGCUUUUCCUCGAGGCUCCUCGCAGGCCCAGCCAACCAACAGCAGCCAUUGCUCCGCCUCAUCCAUGAAGUCUUCUUCCCAUUGGUUCCCAUUGGCGCCCUUCUCCGUCCCAGCCAACCAGCACCAGCCAUUUCUCCUCCUCGUCACAGGCCUCCUUCCCAUUGGCUGUUCCCUUCUCCGGCCCCGCCCACAGCAGCCAUGGGCGAAGAUGGCGGCGCGGAAAGCGAGGCCGCGGCGCUGCGGCGUUUCCUGGCGGCGCACCCGGCCUUGGGCGCGCUCCCCUCCGGGAACAGGGUGCGCUGCGCCCUGACCGGCCACGAGCUCCCACUCCACCUCCCGGCGCUGGAGGCCUACGUCGCGGGGAAGAAGUACCGCCGGCUCCGCGGGAGAGAGGCCGACCUCGGGCCCCACGCGAAGCACCUCGUGCCCAGCCGCACCCGGCCGUGAGUACUAAUAAUAUUGCGUGAUAGUGGAAUGUUAUGCUAAUAUUGUGCUAGGCUAAUAAUAUAUUGUAUGCACAAAUAAUAUUGAUAAUCAUAUUAUAAUGUAAUAUAAUAAUACACUAUUGUAAUUCUGUAUUAUAUAUUACAUAUAAUAUUACUAAUAAUAUUGCGUUAUAGGGUAUAUGAUGCUAAUAUUAUGCCAUACUAAUAUGAUAUAUUGUAUAUACAUAUUUAUUUAUUACAAUAUUUAUAUCCCGCCCUCCUCACCCAACAGGGGACUCAGGGCGGCUUACAAUAAAACACACAUAUAAAACCUGUACAAUAAACUAUAAAUCAGUUAAAAAUUAACUUACAUAAAACAUUCAUAAAACGCAUUAUAAAAUACAGACAGGCGUGUUCAAGUUUAAAAGACUGGGUCUGUCAGUUGAGUUCCAUAUAAUAUUGACAAUAUAAUUUAGUAUAAUAUAAUAAUAAUACACUAUUAUAAUUGUAUAUUAUAUACUACAUGUAAUAUUACUAAUAAUGCAGUAUAGUCAUAUAGUACAAUACAGUAAUAUUUAAUGCUUAUAUUGUGCUAUGCUAAUAAUAUAUUGUAUGUAGAUAUUUAUUUAUUUUAUUUAUUUACAGUAUUUAUAUUCCGCCCUUCUUUCUCUCCCCGAAGGGGACUCAGGGCGGAUCACAUUACACAUAUAGGCAAACAUUCAAUGCCUUUUAACAUAGAACAAAGACAAGACAAACAUAGGCUCCGAGCGGGCCUCGAACUCAUGACCUCCUGGUCAGAGUGAUUCAUUGCAGCUGGUUACAGCUGGCUUGCUCUCCAGCCUGACGCCACAGCGCGAGCCCAUAUAACUUGUAAGCCGCCCUGGGCCCCCUUUUGGGGGUGGAGGGGGGUAUAUCAGGGCCGCGGAAUAAAAAGAUAAUUAUCUAUCCUAUGC
Anolis carolinensis (green anole) is the source of this 1906-nucleotide long non-coding RNA. NCBI's taxonomy places the organism in Eukaryota, Metazoa, Chordata, Lepidosauria, Squamata, Anolidae. The record is from Ensembl.